Molecule: ribosomal RNA, 502 nt
Filed under: uncultured bacterium
Lineage: Bacteria
Description: partial 16S ribosomal RNA
Rfam family: Bacterial small subunit ribosomal RNA
Source: RNAcentral
GACGAACGCUGGCGGCGUGCUUAACACAUGCAAGUCGAACGGUGAAGGGGUCUGCUUUUGUGGGCCCUGGAUGAGUGGCGAACGGGUGAGUAACACGUGAGUAACCUGCCCCCUUCUUCUGGAUAACCGCAUGAAAGUGUGGCUAAUACGGGAUAUUCUGGGUCUGUCGCAUGAUGGGUCUGGGAAAGAUUGCGCCUUUGGGUGUUUUUGGUGGGGGAUGGGCUCGCGGCCUAUCAGCUUGUUGGUGGGGUGAUGGCCUACCAAGGCGGUGACGGGUAGCCGGCCUGAGAGGGUGGACGGUCACACUGGGACUGAGACACGGCCCAGACUCCUACGGGAGGCAGCAGUGGGGAAUAUUGCACAUUGGGCGCAAGCCUGAUGCAGCGACGCCGCGUGAGGGAUGGAGGCCUUCGGGUUGUAAACCUCUUUCGCCAGUGAAGCAGGCCUGCUCCUUGUGGGUGGGUUGACGGUAGCUGGAUAAGAAGCGCCGGCUAACUACGUG